Molecule: ribosomal RNA, 424 nt
Filed under: Granulicatella adiacens
Lineage: Bacteria; Bacillati; Bacillota; Bacilli; Lactobacillales; Carnobacteriaceae
Description: bacterial SSU rRNA
Rfam family: Bacterial small subunit ribosomal RNA
Source: RNAcentral
GACGAACGCUGGCGGCGUGCCUAAUACAUGCAAGUCGAACGAGAGCGACCGGUGCUUGCACUGGUCAAUCUAGUGGCGAACGGGUGAGUAACACGUGGGUAACCUGCCCAUCAGAGGGGGAUAACAUCCGGAAACGGAUGCUAAAACCGCAUAGGUCUUCGAACCGCAUGGUUUGAAGAGGAAAAGAGGCGCAAGCUUCUGCUGAUGGAUGGACCCGCGGUGCAUUAGCUAGUUGGUGAGGUAACGGCUCACCAAGGCCGUGAUGCAUAGCCGACCUGAGAGGGUGAUCGGCCACAUUGGGACUGAGACACGGCCCAAACUCCUACGGGAGGCAGCAGUAGGGAAUCUUCCGCAAUGGACGCAAGUCUGACGGAGCAACGCCCGCGUGAGUGAAGAAGGUUUUCGGAUCGUAAAAACUUCUGUU